RNAcentral lists this ribosomal RNA (478 nucleotides) under uncultured bacterium. RNAcentral's name for it is "partial 16S ribosomal RNA". It matches the Rfam family "Bacterial small subunit ribosomal RNA", at positions 28 to 523 of the family's 1533-position model. The record is from RNAcentral.
GACGAACGCUGGCGGCGUGCUUAACACAUGCAAGUCGAACGGUAAGGCCCUUCGGGGUACACGAGUGGCGAACGGGUGAGUAACACGUGGGUGAUCUGCCCUGCACUUCGGGAUAAGCCCGGGAAACUGGGUCUAAUACCGGAUAGGACCCUGGGAUGCAUGUCCUGGGGUGGAAAGCUUUUGCGGUGUGGGAUGGGCCCGCGGCCUAUCAGCUUGUUGGUGGGGUGAUGGCCUACCAAGGCGACGACGGGUAGCCGGCCUGAGAGGGUGACCGGCCACACUGGGACUGAGAUACGGCCCAGACUCCUACGGGAGGCAGCAGUGGGGAAUAUUGCACAAUGGGCGCAAGCCUGAUGCAGCGACGCCGCGUGAGGGAUGACGGCCUUCGGGUUGUAAACCUCUUUCAGCACCGACGAAGCGCAAGUGACGGUAGGUGCAGAAGAAGGACCGGUCAACUACGUGCCAGCCGCCGCAGUAA